CCUACGGGGGGCUGUAGUGGGGAAUAUUGGACAAUGGGGGGAACCCUGAUCCAGCCAUGCCGCGUGUGUGAAGAAGGCCCUCGGGUUGUAAAGCACUUUCAGUGAGGAAGAACGCCUGGUGGUUAAUACCCAUCAGGAAAGACAUCACUCACAGAAGAAGCACCGGCUAACUCCGUGCCAGCAGCCGCGGUAAUACGGAGGGUGCGAGCGUUAAUCGGAAUUACUGGGCGUAAAGCGCGCGUAGGUGGCUUGAUAAGCCGGUUGUGAAAGCCCCGGGCUCAACCUGGGAACGGCAUCCGGAACUGUCAAGCUAGAGUGCAGGAGAGGAAGGUAGAAUUCCCGGUGUAGCGGUGAAAUGCGUAGAGAUCGGGAGGAAUACCAGUGGCGAAGGCGGCCUUCUGGACUGACACUGACACUGAGGUGCGAAAGCGUGGGUAGCAAACAGGAUUAGAUACCCUGGUAGUC
This 465-nucleotide ribosomal RNA is filed under the name Vreelandella stevensii. Its description in RNAcentral is "partial 16S ribosomal RNA". It matches the Rfam family "Bacterial small subunit ribosomal RNA", at positions 338 to 795 of the family's 1533-position model. Lineage: Bacteria; Pseudomonadati; Pseudomonadota; Gammaproteobacteria; Oceanospirillales; Halomonadaceae. The record is from RNAcentral.